GGCGGAGUAGCUCAGGUGGUUAGAGCAGCGGAAUCAUAAUCCGCGUGUCGGGGUUUCAAGUCCCUCCUCCGCUACCA
RNAcentral lists this transfer RNA (77 nucleotides) under Erythrobacter sp. Its description in RNAcentral is "tRNA-Met". It matches the Rfam family "tRNA". From Rfam's summary of the family: Transfer RNA (tRNA) molecules are approximately 80 nucleotides in length. The record is from RNAcentral. Lineage: Bacteria; Pseudomonadati; Pseudomonadota; Alphaproteobacteria; Sphingomonadales; Erythrobacteraceae.